GCAGCCAUGCCGCGUGUAUGAAGAAGGCCUUCGGGUUGUAAAGUACUUUCAGUUGUGAGGAAGGGGGUGUCGUUAAUAGCGGCAUCUCUUGACGUUAGCAACAGAAGAAGCACCGGCUAACUCCGUGCCAGCAGCCGCGGUAAUACGGAGGGUGCGAGCGUUAAUCGGAAUUACUGGGCGUAAAGCGCAUGCAGGUGGUUCAUUAAGUCAGAUGUGAAAGCCCGGGGCUCAACCUCGGAACUGCAUUUGAAACUGGUGAACUAGAGUACUGUAGAGGGGGGUAGAAUUUCAGGUGUAGCGGUGAAAUGCGUAGAGAUCUGAAGGAAUACCAGUGGCGAAGGCGGCCCCCUGGACAGAUACUGACACUCAGAUGCGAAAGCGUGGGGAGCAAACAGGAUUAGAUACCCUGGUAGUCCACGCCGUAAACGAUGUCUACUUGGAGGUUGUGGCCUUGAGCCGUGGCUUUCGGAGCUAACGCGUUAAGUAGACCGCCUGGGGAGUACGGUCGCAAGAUUAAAACUCAAAUGAAUUGACGGGGGCCCGCACAAGCGGUGGAGCAUGUGGUUUAAUUCGAUGCAACGCGAAGAACCUUACCUACUCUUGACAUCCAGAGAAGCCAGCGGAGACGCAGGUGUGCCUUCGGGA
Molecule: ribosomal RNA, 645 nt
Filed under: Vibrio sp.
Lineage: Bacteria; Pseudomonadati; Pseudomonadota; Gammaproteobacteria; Vibrionales; Vibrionaceae
Description: bacterial SSU rRNA
Rfam family: Bacterial small subunit ribosomal RNA
Source: RNAcentral